RNAcentral lists this RNase P RNA (389 nucleotides) under Methylosinus trichosporium OB3b. Its description in RNAcentral is "RNase P RNA component class A". It matches the Rfam family "Bacterial RNase P class A". Rfam says of the family: Ribonuclease P (RNase P) is a ubiquitous endoribonuclease, found in archaea, bacteria and eukarya as well as chloroplasts and mitochondria. The record is from RNAcentral. Lineage: Bacteria; Pseudomonadati; Pseudomonadota; Alphaproteobacteria; Hyphomicrobiales; Methylocystaceae. RNAcentral also lists the same sequence under 1 other name.
UCAGUCGGCUGGAUGGCCGCUGCUCUCACGAGCAGAGGAAAGUCCGGGCUCCACGGAGACACGGCGCCGGAUAAGGUCCGGCGGGGGCGACCCCAGGGAAAGCGCCACAGAAAGCAAACCGCCGCCAUCCUUCGGGCCGGCGGCAAGGGUGAAAGGGUGCGGUAAGAGCGCACCGCUCGGGCGGCGACGUCCGAGGCAUGGCAAGCCCCGCCGGGAGCAAGACCGAAUAGGGGCGAAUUCGGAAGCAGCGAUGUUUCCACGGCCUGUCUCCGGGCCGUCGCCCGGGUUGGUCGCUAGAGGCGGCACGCAAUUGCCGUCCCAGAGGAAUGGCCAUCGCGCGCGGGGAAACCCGCGCCUUACAGAACCCGGCUUACAGGCCGGCUGGCUCG